CUGGCAGCAGGCCCCGCACGUCUUCUUCUUCGCCUUGCCCAAGCCAGAGCACGCGCGCCCGCCGCCAUAUCCCGAGUUCCUCAGGAUCGCGAUCCCAGCCCUUCCCCUCACGCACGUCUAUGUCUUAUAAAUAGCCAGCACUCCCCUCGUUCGAACCCUUCGAAAACCCCUUGUCAAAACUCUCUCUCAUGCACGCACUCGCAGUUUGGAUCUCCGCCACCGACGCUUCAGAACGCCGUCGUCUCCGUCGCCGCAACGAGCCCGAACUCGUCCGAUCUUGCCGGAGCCAGGGAGCAGAGGAGCUCGGCCAACUUCGCUUCACCGUCGUACGACGUCUGGGGCCCUUGUACGCACCACCACCGGACCCCCUCACUCCGCCGCUUCCGCCUGUGCACUCGCCGGAGCGCCUCGACCACCGGAACGCGCUCGCCGUCAACCACCGUACGUCAUCACUGCUGUCACACUCGCCGCCGUCGCUCCCGCCAUCCCUGAGUCACGCCAAAGAGACCUUCGUGCUCGCCACCGUCGCCCACGUCGAACGGAGCCCUCCCUAAAGCCGGAGACCCACGGGAGGAGCCGCCUGCGUCAACCCUGAGCCGCCACCACCGCCGACAACCUAGACGGAGUUUACCUCCACCGUGCAUACUAAUCCAGGGAUGGCACGGAUACACAGAGGCUUGACCGUCUGAGGUUGAGUCGCUACAGCUAGUGAGUCCGUCGACCUGCUCCAACGGCGCUUCUUCUACUUCAGCACAAAUGCAUGGCAUUUACGGUUUGGCGCCAUUGAGAUUGAUGAUGCAUGAGGAUGUCGCGAGGUGCCGAGGAGAGAAGUACCUCCUAGAUCUGAGAUUUGCAAGCACCAGACGAAAUGACAACGCGAGCCAGACGGGGGUCGGGCGUGUUAAUCUGUACAAUUUGUUGUUGUCUGGUUGUUUUCUGGUGAAAUGUUAAUUGUUGGCAUGGGUGGUGAUAUUAGCUAGUGUUGAAAGGAAAUUCAAGUAUUUCUCUGUUUCAUGUAUGUGUUGUCCGAACAAAGUAAUGCAAUGAAAUGAAAUCUCUGUAAUAAACCUUUGUUGAGCGAAAGGUUUGAAUAGCUGCU
Triticum aestivum (bread wheat) is the source of this 1099-nucleotide long non-coding RNA. RefSeq lists it as uncharacterized. NCBI's taxonomy places the organism in Eukaryota, Viridiplantae, Streptophyta, Magnoliopsida, Poales, Poaceae. The record is from RefSeq and is a predicted model, not a curated record. The transcript has 4 exons.